UACGAGGGGGGCGAGCGUUGUUCGGAAUUAUUGGGCGUAAAGGGUGCGUAGGCGGUUCCGCAAGUCCUGUGUGAAAUCUUCGGGCUCAACUCGAAGUCUGCACGGGAAACUGCGGGGCUUGAGUGUGGGAGAGGUGAGUGGAAUUCCCGGUGUAGCGGUGAAAUGCGUAGAUAUCAGGAGGAACACCAAUGGCGAAGGCAGCUCGCUGGGACGGUACUGACACUGAGACGCGAAAGCGUGGGGAGCAAACAGG
This 253-nucleotide ribosomal RNA is filed under the name uncultured bacterium. RNAcentral describes it as "partial 16S ribosomal RNA". It matches the Rfam family "Bacterial small subunit ribosomal RNA", at positions 524 to 776 of the family's 1533-position model. The record is from RNAcentral.